This 497-nucleotide ribosomal RNA is filed under the name uncultured bacterium. RNAcentral's name for it is "partial 16S ribosomal RNA". It matches the Rfam family "Bacterial small subunit ribosomal RNA", at positions 28 to 507 of the family's 1533-position model. The record is from RNAcentral.
GACGAACGCUGGCGGCGUGCCUAAUACAUGCAAGUAGAACGCUGAAGCUUGGUGCUUGCACCGAGCGGAUGAGUUGCGAACGGGUGAGUAACGCGUAGGUAACCUGCCUGGUAGCGGGGGAUAACUAUUGGAAACGAUAGCUAAUACCGCAUAAUAGUAGAUGUUGCAUGACAUUUGCUUAAAAGGUGCAAUUGCAUCACUACCAGAUGGACCUGCGUUGUAUUAGCUAGUUGGUGAGGUAACGGCUCACCAAGGAAACGAUACAGAGCCGACCUGAGAGGGUGAUCGGCCACCCUGGGACUGAGACCCGGCCCAGACUCCUUCGGGAGGCAGCAGUAGGGAAUCUUCGGCAAUGGACGGAAGUCUGACCGAGCAACGCCGCGUGAGUGAAGAAGGUUUUCGGAUCGUAAAGCUCUGUUGUAAGAGAAGAACGAGUGUGAGAGUGGAAAGUUCACACUGUGACGGUAUCUUACCAGAAAGGGACGGCUAACUACGUG